GAGUUGUUCAAAAUGAUCGAUACAGACAACAGCGGGACCAUAACAUUUGAUGAACUUAAAGAUGGCUUGAAAAGAGUGGGAUCUGAACUGAUGGAGCCUGAGAUUCAGCAACUUAUGAAUGCGGCUGAUAUAGACAAUAAUGGGACCAUAGAUUAUGGCGAAUUCCUUGCUGCUACUGUGCACAUGAACAAGUUGGAGAGAGAGGAGAACCUGGUAUCAGCAUUCUCUUAUUUCGACAAAGAUGG
This 245-nucleotide unclassified non-coding RNA is filed under the name Hevea brasiliensis (rubber tree). Lineage: Eukaryota; Viridiplantae; Streptophyta; Magnoliopsida; Malpighiales; Euphorbiaceae. The record is from RNAcentral.